Molecule: small RNA, 575 nt
Filed under: Vigna angularis var. angularis
Lineage: Eukaryota; Viridiplantae; Streptophyta; Magnoliopsida; Fabales; Fabaceae
Description: Non-protein coding transcript
Source: RNAcentral
CGCAAAUUAAGUUUUUGCUAUCUGUGUUGAUGAUGGUGUGCGAGGAAGAUGAUGAAGGAUGCACGACCUACUGCGAUGGAGGAUCUCUAUUCGAUUUGGGGGUUUGACACGAUCUGUGAGAGUUAUGGUUCUUGCUCGAAAAUAUUCUCGCAGAGGUGGAGUUCUUUGGUUCGCGAUGGAGAAGAUUAAGAUGGUCAGAUGUUGAUGGUGGUUCUCACGGUGGUUGCACGAAGAGGGAGAUGCAGGUGCGAUAGUGCAUAGCAAUUUGGACUCACGGUUUGGGUGUGAUUCGUUGCAAUGGAAGGUUUCUUUUGCAGGGUGAGUUUCUUGGUUGAUUCGUGGUGGCUUGCGUGAUUGCUAAUAGUAAAGCUCACGGUGGCCCUGCAACAUGGAAAAGAUGGUGGCCUGGUACACAGCGACGCGGUGGUGGAAGGAAAAAUAUGAUUUAUAAUUUGGAGAAGAUGGUGAUAACGUGACAAGACGAUGAUGUGAGCCAACUAUUGAAAGUUUUACUAUAUGACAACUUAUCCCGUUUUUCUUAAAUGGACUCGAAACUGUUAACGAUUUAGAUGUCA